RNAcentral lists this ribosomal RNA (301 nucleotides) under uncultured bacterium. RNAcentral's name for it is "partial 16S ribosomal RNA". It matches the Rfam family "Bacterial small subunit ribosomal RNA", at positions 509 to 807 of the family's 1533-position model. The record is from RNAcentral.
CAGCCGCCGCGGGAAUACGUAGGGUGCAAGCGUUAAUCGGAAUUACUGGGCGUAAAGCGUGCGCAGGCGGUUAUAUAAGUCAGAUGUGAAAUCCCCGGGCUCAACCUGGGAACUGCAUUUGAGACUGUAUGGCUAGAGUGUGUCAGAGGGGGGUAGAAUUCCACGUGUAGCAGUGAAAUGCGUAGAUAUGUGGAGGAAUACCGAUGGCGAAGGCGGCUUUUUGGCCUGUAACUGACACUGAGGCGCGAAAGCGUGGGGAGCAAACAGGAUUAGAUACCCCCGUAGUCCCUGUCUCUUAUAC